AUGGUGUUCAUUGACUUGGAGAAGGCCUACGAUAAGAUACCGCGGAAUGUCAUGUGGUGGGCCUUGGAGAAACACAAAGUCCCAGCAAAGUACAUUACCCUCAUCAAGGACAUGUACAAUAAUGUUGUGACAAGUGUUCGAACAAGUGAUGUCGACACCGAUGACUUCCCGAUUAAGAUAGGACUGCAUCAAGGGUCAGCUUUGAGCCCUUAUCUUUUUGCAUUGGUGAUGGAUGAGGUCACAAGGGGUAUACAAGGAGAUAUCCCAUGGUGUAUGCUCUUUGCGGAUGAUGUGGUGCUAGUUGACGAUAGUCAGACGGGGGUAAAUAGGAAGUUAGAGUUAUGGAGACAAACCUUAGAAUCGAAAGGGUUUAGGCUUAAUAAAACUAAAACCGAGUACAUGAUGUGCAGUUUCAGUACUACUAGUUGUGAGGAGGAGGAGGUUAGCCUUGAUGGCCAGGUGGUACCUCGGAAGGACACCUUUCGGUAUUUGGGGUCAAUGUUGCAGGAGGAUGGGGGUAUUGAUGAAGAUGUGAACCAUCGAAUCAAAGCCGGAUGGAUGAAGUGGCGCCAAGCUUCUGGCAUUCUCUGUGACAAGAGAGUGCCACAAAAGCUAAAAGGCAAGUUCUACAGGACGGCGGUUCGACCCGCAAUGUUGUAUGGCGCGGAGUGUUGGCUGACUAAAAGGCGACAUGUUCAACAGUUAGGUGUGGCAGAGAUGCGUAUGUUGAGAUGGAUGUGUGGCCACACGAGGAAGGAUCGAGUCCGGAAUGAUGAUAUAUGA
Molecule: ribosomal RNA, 783 nt
Filed under: Triticum aestivum (bread wheat)
Lineage: Eukaryota; Viridiplantae; Streptophyta; Magnoliopsida; Poales; Poaceae
Description: partial small subunit ribosomal RNA
Source: RNAcentral